RNAcentral lists this ribosomal RNA (453 nucleotides) under uncultured bacterium. RNAcentral's name for it is "partial 16S ribosomal RNA". It matches the Rfam family "Bacterial small subunit ribosomal RNA", at positions 28 to 506 of the family's 1533-position model. The record is from RNAcentral.
GAUGAACGCUGACAGAAUGCUUAACACAUGCAAGUCUACCUGAACUUCGGGUUGGGUGGCGGACGGGUGAGUAACGCGUAAAGAACUUGCCUCACAGUUAGGGACAACAUUUGGAAACGAAUGCUAAUACCUGAUAUUAUGAUUUUAGGGCAUCCUAAAAUUAUGAAAGCUAUAUGCGCUGUAAGAGAGCUUUGCGUACCAUUAGCUAGUUGGAGAGGUAACGGCUCACCAAGGCGAUGAUGGGUAGCCGGCCGGAGAGGGUGAACGGCCCCAAGGGGACUGAGACGCGGCCGUUACUACUCCGGGAGGAAGCAGUGGAGAAUAUUGGACAAUGGACCCACAGUCUGAUAAAGCCAUUCGGUGUGAACGAUGACGUUUUUCGGAAUGUAAAGUGCUUUCAGAUGGGAAGACAAAAAUGACGGACCCAACAGAAGAGGUGCCGCCUACUUCCGU